RNAcentral lists this ribosomal RNA (253 nucleotides) under uncultured bacterium. Its description in RNAcentral is "partial 16S ribosomal RNA". It matches the Rfam family "Bacterial small subunit ribosomal RNA", at positions 524 to 776 of the family's 1533-position model. The record is from RNAcentral.
UCCAGAGGUGGCAAGCGUUGUUCGGAAUUACUGGGCGUAAAGGGCGCGUAGGCGGUCUUGUAAGUCUUGUGUGAAAUCCCUCGGCUUAACUGAGGAACUGCACGGGAUACUGCGAGACUUGAGAUCGGGGGAGGGAAGCGGAAUUCCGGGUGUAGCGGUGAAAUGCGUAGAUAUCCGGAGGAACACCGGUGGCGAAGGCGGCUUCCUGGACCGACACUGACGCUGAGGCGCGAAAGCUAGGGGAGCAAACGGG